Molecule: ribosomal RNA, 297 nt
Filed under: Escherichia coli
Lineage: Bacteria; Pseudomonadati; Pseudomonadota; Gammaproteobacteria; Enterobacterales; Enterobacteriaceae
Description: partial 16S ribosomal RNA
Rfam family: Bacterial small subunit ribosomal RNA
Source: RNAcentral
AAAUUGAAGAGUUUGAUCAUGGCUCAGAUUGAACGCUGGCGGCAGGCCUAACACAUGCAAGUCGAACGGUAACAGGAAACAGCUUGCUGUUUCGCUGACGAGUGGCGGACGGGUGAGUAAUGUCUGGGAAACUGCCUGAUGGAGGGGGAUAACUACUGGAAACGGUAGCUAAUACCGCAUAACGUCGCAAGACCAAAGAGGGGGACCCUCGGGCCUCUUGCCAUCGGAUGUGCCCAGAUGGGAUUAGCUUGUUGGUGGGGUAACGGCUCACCAAGGCGACGAUCCCUAGCUGGUCUG